RNAcentral lists this ribosomal RNA (270 nucleotides) under uncultured bacterium. RNAcentral describes it as "partial 16S ribosomal RNA". It matches the Rfam family "Bacterial small subunit ribosomal RNA", at positions 1234 to 1500 of the family's 1533-position model. The record is from RNAcentral.
CGGUAAACAGAGGGAAGCGAGCCCGCGAGGGGGAGGCGAAUCCCAAAAAUAAACGUCCCAGUUCGGAUUGUAGUCUGCAACCCGACUACAUGAAGCUGGAAUCGCUAGUAAUCGCGGAUCAGAAUGCCGCGGUGAAUACGUUCCCGGGUCUUGUACACACCGCCCGUCACACCAUGGGAGUCGGAAAUGCCCGAAGUCUGUGACCCAACCUUAGGGAGGGAGCAGCCGAAGGCAGGUCGGAUGACUGGGGUGAAGUCGUAACAAGGUAUC